AGGACAAUGCCAAAACAAGAAUGUGAAGAAGAAUGUUGAGCAUGUGUUGACCGCGUGCAGGAUUCAUUCUACAACAGCCAUGUGUCGUCUCCGACACGAAAAAUCUGUAUCUACAUGGGUGAAGAUCCAGAAAACCUUGUGCAGCAAUAUGUGGUAUGGCAUGGAUAAAGACUCCAUCAACGAGGCCAUUGAAGACACCACUGUUGGGAUUUAUGUUCUUAAAGAACACGCUUCAAGUGAUGAACCAGAGGACAUCGGAAUUGUCCUUGAAGGCGUCAAGGUGUUGCAAGAUCUUGAUAAUGUAGCAUUAUCUGUUGCUAUGCUGUUUGGACUAAUGUAUGCCCUGAACUUCAGCUACCCUGCUGGCCUUCGUUAUACCUUUGAGGUAAUCCAAAAGAUUUUCAUGGAACUUGAUGGAGGGAAACUUUCCAACAAAGCACUCGCUCUAAAAAACAGACUCUUCCAGUGAAAGGGUCAGAGAGACUGCGCCGUCAGCCAAAUGGCAUAGUUGUCCUUAAAGGCAUCGUUGGUAUGGCUGUACCGUUUGGACUAGUUUUGUUUGUUUGAAUUAACUGGACAGGAUUUGCAUGGAUCUGCAUGGAAAUAACCUUUUGCAAACAAAGCAAAAGUUUGCUCUCUGAAAACAGGCUCUUUUAGUAAAGACUGAGCUGUCAGCAAUAAACCAACAGGCAUCAUUGGUACUGUUAUACCAGAUGGACCACUUUUUCC
Molecule: long non-coding RNA, 729 nt
Organism: Sander lucioperca (pikeperch)
Lineage: Eukaryota; Metazoa; Chordata; Actinopteri; Perciformes; Percidae
Exons: 3
Source: RefSeq, a predicted model, not a curated record